Molecule: long non-coding RNA, 320 nt
Filed under: Mus spicilegus (steppe mouse)
Lineage: Eukaryota; Metazoa; Chordata; Mammalia; Rodentia; Muridae
Description: lncRNA (ENSMSIG00000012813.1)
Source: RNAcentral
AUGGAGUUAGUGGUGAAGCUUAGCAGUAGCAUAUCUGCUGAGAUGCAAGAUCCUCUGUCUCUGUAUGCAGUUCUCUCCUAUAGUAUCAUACCUCCUGUGACUUCGAACUAUUCCAUGCAUCUGGAAGAUUGUACCACUUCACAUUUAUGUCAUCAAACUUUGAACCCACCUAUACAAUAACCCAUUGGUUAUCAUCCAGUCCUUUCUCAAUUAAAGAAUAUACCAACUAUAAACUAAGCUUCAGUCCUAGCCUUUUUAGGAAUAAUUAAUAAGCAACAACUAAGAAAGGUGCAAUAAUUUUAAAAAGCAUUCUGUAGAAG